GGAGGGGGCUAGCGUUGUUCGGAAUUACUGGGCGUAAAGCGCACGUAGGCGGCGAUUUAAGUCAGAGGUGAAAGCCCGGGGCUCAACCCCGGAAUAGCCUUUGAGACUGGAUUGCUUGAACAUCGGAGAGGUGAGUGGAAUUCCGAGUGUAGAGGUGAAAUUCGUAGAUAUUCGGAAGAACACCAGUGGCGAAGGCGGCUCACUGGACGAUUGUUGACGCUGAGGUGCGAAAGCGUGGGGAGCAAACAGGAUUAGAUACCCCGGUAGUCCACGCCGUAAACGAUGAUAACUAGCUGCUGGGGCUCAUGGAGUUUCGGUGGCGCAGCUAACGCAUUAAGUUAUCCGCCUGGGGAGUACGGUCGCAAGAUUA
Molecule: ribosomal RNA, 370 nt
Filed under: uncultured bacterium
Lineage: Bacteria
Description: bacterial SSU rRNA
Rfam family: Bacterial small subunit ribosomal RNA
Source: RNAcentral